This 827-nucleotide ribosomal RNA is filed under the name uncultured archaeon. Its description in RNAcentral is "bacterial SSU rRNA". It matches the Rfam family "Archaeal small subunit ribosomal RNA", at positions 21 to 855 of the family's 1478-position model. The record is from RNAcentral.
CCUGACUGCUAUCGGAUUGAUACUAAGCCAUGCGAGUCAUUGUAGCAAUACAAGGCAGACGGCUCAGUAACGCGUAGUCAACCUACCCUAUGGACGGGAAUAACCUCGGGAAACUGAGUAUAAUGCCCGAUAGAACACUAUACCUGGAAUGGUUUGUGUUCCAAAUGAUUUAUCGCCAUAGGAUGGGACUGCGGCCUAUCAGUUUGUUGGUGAGGUAAUGGCCCACCAAGACUAUUACAGGUACGGGCUCUGAGAGGAGUGGCCCGGAGAUGGGUACUGAGACACGGACCCAGGCCCUAUGGGGCGCAGCAGGCGAGAAAACUUUGCAAUGUGCGAAAGCGCGACAAGGUUAAUCCGAGUGGUUUCUGCUAAAGGAACCUUUUGACAGUCCUAGAAACACUGUUGAAUAAGGGGUGGGCAAGUUCUGGUGUCAGCCGCCGCGGUAAAACCAGCACCUCAAGUGGUCAGGAUGAUUAUUGGGCCUAAAGCAUCCGUAGCCGGCUCUGUAAGUUUUCGGUUAAAUCUGUACGCUUAACGUACAGGCUGCUGGGAAUACUGCAGAGCUAGGGAGUGGGAGAGGUAGACGGUACUCGGGAGGAAGUGGUAAAAUGCUUUGAUCUCUCGAUGACCACCUGUGGCGAAGGCGGUCUACCAGAACACGUCCGACGGUGAGGGAUGAAAGCUGGGGGAGCAAACCGGAUUAGAUACCCGGGUAGUCCCAGCUGUAAACUAUGCAAACUCAGUGAUGCACUGGCUUUUGGCCAGUGCAGUGUUGCAGGGAAGCCGUUAAGUUUGCCGCCUGGGAAGUACGUACGCAAGUAUGAAAC